This 459-nucleotide ribosomal RNA is filed under the name uncultured Sulfuricurvum sp. Its description in RNAcentral is "bacterial SSU rRNA". It matches the Rfam family "Bacterial small subunit ribosomal RNA", at positions 926 to 1382 of the family's 1533-position model. The record is from RNAcentral. Lineage: Bacteria; Pseudomonadati; Campylobacterota; Epsilonproteobacteria; Campylobacterales; Sulfurimonadaceae.
GAAGCGGUGGAGCAUUGUUGUUUAAUUCGAAGCGAACGCGAAGAACCUUACCAGGUCCUUGACAUGCGUAGGAACCGGUGAAGCCUGGGUGCCCCGCGAGGGAGCCCUAGCACAGGUGCUGCACGGCUGUCGUCAGCUCGUGUCGUGAGAUGUUGGGUUAAGUCCCGCAACGAGCGCAACCCUCGUCCUUAGUUGCUAACAGUUCGGCUGAGCACUCUAGGGAGACUGCCUUCGCAAGGAGGAGGAAGGUGAGGACGACGUCAAGUCAUCAUGGCCCUUACGGCCAGGGCUACACACGUGCUACAAUGGGGCGUACAGAGAGCUGCGAUACCGCGAGGUGGAGCCAAUCUCUUAAAGCGUCUCUCAGUUCGGAUUGUUCUCUGCAACUCGAGAACAUGAAGCUGGAAUCACUAGUAAUCGCAGAUCAGCUAUGCUGCGGUGAAUACGUUCCCGGGUCUU